GACGAACGCUGGCGGCGUGCCUAAUACAUGCAAGUAGAACGCACAGUUUAUACCGUAGCUUGCUACACCAUAGACUGUGAGUUGCGAACGGGUGAGUAACGCGUAGGUAACCUGCCUGGUAGCGGGGGAUAACUAUUGGAAACGAUAGCUAAUACCGCAUAAUAUUGAUUAUUGCAUGAUAAUUGAUUGAAAGAUGCUAUUGCAUCACUACCAGAUGGACCUGCAUUGUAUUAGCUAGUAGGUGAGGUAACGGCUCACCUAGGCGACGAUACAUAGCCGACCUGAGAGGGUGAUCGGCCACACUGGGACUGAGACACGGCCCAGACUCCUACGGGAGGCAGCAGUAGGGAAUCUUCGGCAAUGGACGAAAGUCUGACCGAGCAACGCCGCGUGAGUGAAGAAGGGUUUCGGAUCGUAAAGCUCUGUUGUAAGAGAAGAACGGGUGUGAGAGUGGAAAGUUCACACUGUGACGGUAUCUUACCAGAAAGGGACGGCUAACUACGUG
Molecule: ribosomal RNA, 505 nt
Filed under: uncultured bacterium
Lineage: Bacteria
Description: partial 16S ribosomal RNA
Rfam family: Bacterial small subunit ribosomal RNA
Source: RNAcentral